RNAcentral lists this ribosomal RNA (292 nucleotides) under uncultured bacterium. RNAcentral describes it as "partial 16S ribosomal RNA". It matches the Rfam family "Archaeal small subunit ribosomal RNA", at positions 455 to 747 of the family's 1478-position model. The record is from RNAcentral.
GUGCCAGCCGCCGCGGUAAUACCUGCAGCCCAAGUGGUGGCCGUUAUUAUUGGGCCUAAAGCGUCCGUAGCCGGUUUGGUAGAUGCCUUUGUAAAUCGAACGGCUCAACCGUUCGAAUUGAGGGUAGACCGCCAGACUCGGGACCGGGAGAGGUGCGAGGUACUCGGGGGGUAGAGGUGAAAUUCUGUAAUCCUCCGGGGACCACCGGUGGCGAAGGCGUCGCACUUGAACGGCUCCGACGGUGAGGGACGAAGCCCUGGGGCGCAAACCGGAUUAGAAACCCCAGUAGUCC